Molecule: ribosomal RNA, 1372 nt
Filed under: uncultured bacterium
Lineage: Bacteria
Description: bacterial SSU rRNA
Rfam family: Bacterial small subunit ribosomal RNA
Source: RNAcentral
GAUGAACGCUGGCGGCGUGCCUAAUACAUGCAAGUCGAGCGAACGGACGAGAAGCUUGCUUCUCUGAUGUUAGCGGCGGACGGGUGAGUAACACGUGGAUAACCUACCUAUAAGACUGGGAUAACUUCGGGAAACCGGAGCUAAUACCGGAUAAUAUUUUGAACCGCAUGGUUCAAAAGUGAAAGACGGUCUUGCUGUCACUUAUAGAUGGAUCCGCGCUGCAUUAGCUAGUUGGUAAGGUAACGGCUUACCAAGGCAACGAUGCAUAGCCGACCUGAGAGGGUGAUCGGCCACACUGGAACUGAGACACGGUCCAGACUCCUACGGGAGGCAGCAGUAGGGAAUCUUCCGCAAUGGGCGAAAGCCUGACGGAGCAACGCCGCGUGAGUGAUGAAGGUCUUCGGAUCGUAAAACUCUGUUAUUAGGGAAGAACAUAUGUGUAAGUAACUGUGCACAUCUUGACGGUACCUAAUCAGAAAGCCACGGCUAACUACGUGCCAGCAGCCGCGGUAAUACGUAGGUGGCAAGCGUUAUCCGGAAUUAUUGGGCGUAAAGCGCGCGUAGGCGGUUUUUUAAAUCUGAUGUGAAAGCCCACGGCUCAACCGUGGAGGGUCAUUGGAAACUGGAAAACUUGAGUGCAGAAGAGGAAAGUGGAAUUCCAUGUGUAGCGGUGAAAUGCGCAGAGAUAUGGAGGAACACCAGUGGCGAAGGCGACUUUCUGGUCUGUAACUGACGCUGAUGUGCGAAAGCGUGGGGAUCAAACAGGAUUAGAUACCCUGGUAGUCCACGCCGUAAACGAUGAGUGCUAAGUGUUAGGGGGUUUCCGCCCCUUAGUGCUGCAGCUAACGCAUUAAGCACUCCGCCUGGGGAGUACGACCGCAAGGUUGAAACUCAAAGGAAUUGACGGGGACCCGCACAAGCGGUGGAGCAUGUGGUUUAAUUCGAAGCAACGCGAAGAACCUUACCAAAUCUUGACAUCCUUUGACAACUCUAGAGAUAGAGCCUUCCCCUUCGGGGGACAAAGUGACAGGUGGUGCAUGGUUGUCGUCAGCUCGUGUCGUGAGAUGUUGGGUUAAGUCCCGCAACGAGCGCAACCCUUAAGCUUAGUUGCCAUCAUUAAGUUGGGCACUCUAAGUUGACUGCCGGUGACAAACCGGAGGAAGGUGGGGAUGACGUCAAAUCAUCCUGCCCCUUAUGAUUUGGGCUACACACGUGCUACAAUGGACAAUACAAAGGGCAGCGAAACCGCGAGGUCAAGCAAAUCCCAUAAAGUUGUUCUCAGUUCGGAUUGUAGUCUGCAACUCGACUACAUGAAGCUGGAAUCGCUAGUAAUCGUAGAUCAGCAUGCUACGGUGAAUACGUUCCCGGGUCU